AUGUUGAGGUCGAGGGAUCCGCUAAUCAUCGGGAGGAUCGUUGGCGACGUCGUCGACUACUUCGACGCCUCGGCGCGGCUGAGGGUGUUGUACGGCAACCGCGAGAUCACGGUUGGGUCCGAGCUGAGGCCAUCGCAGGUGGCGAACCAGCCCACGUUGCGCAUCACAGGAAGGGCGGGAUCACUCUACACGCUCGUGAUGGUAGACCCUGAUGUACCUGGACCAAGCAACCCUUCCGAACGGGAGUACCUCCAUUGGUUUGUCACGGACAUACCAGAAGGAGGUGACGUGGGCCGUGGCACUGAGGUGGUGGCAUACGAGAAGCCGCAACCGACGGCAGGGAUCCACCGUUUGGCAUUCGUGGUGUUCCGGCAGGCUGCGCGGGAGGCCAUCUAUGCACCAGGGUGGCGCUCCAACUUCAUCACGAGGGACAUGGCCGAGUGCUACAGCCUUGGCGCUCCGGUCGCUGCCGCCUACUUCAACUGCCAGAGGGAGGGCAGCUGCGGUGGCCGGAGGUGGCAGGGGUGA
Molecule: ribosomal RNA, 528 nt
Filed under: Triticum aestivum (bread wheat)
Lineage: Eukaryota; Viridiplantae; Streptophyta; Magnoliopsida; Poales; Poaceae
Description: partial small subunit ribosomal RNA
Source: RNAcentral